Molecule: long non-coding RNA, 5312 nt
Organism: Pipistrellus kuhlii (Kuhl's pipistrelle)
Lineage: Eukaryota; Metazoa; Chordata; Mammalia; Chiroptera; Vespertilionidae
Exons: 7
Source: RefSeq, a predicted model, not a curated record
UGUGUGUGUGUGGGCAAGCCUCCCCACCUGAUGAGUCAGAUAGACAAGUACAACUUGACCUGUUGGAACUGGAAACAGGUUCUCUGGCCUCUCCCUCCUCUGGGAAGCUGGAGGUGGAAGCUUGUUCUCCACACUCAUCAGGGUCACCCGGGAGCCUUUCCUGUGCCCUCGGCAGGGCUGAGCCUCGGAGAAGCUCAUCUCACCGCCUGUGACAGAGAGCUAGAGGCACACCCAUCACAUGGCUCGGAUCAUGACGAGCAGCAGCUCUCCUAAAAGGGACCUGAAGGAGCAGAAAAAGGUUUUUUCUCCAAACUUUAUUAACUGGAAACUCCAUGAACUGCCAAUAACUUCCACAUAGCCAGAGAUGAACCAGAUGCUCGUAACCAUGCCUUCCCUGCAAGCUGGCAGGAUUAUUGUGACAAUCAAACGUGCUAAAGUGUGAGGGCACCUUGACACUGCAAGGCGGUCAAGCAGGCUUGGAUCCUAAUGACUCAGAGCUCCUCUGUCCCCAGUCCGGGCCCUUCUCUGCUCCUGUGUGAUCUGGAUAUGACUCAGUUUUGUGCACCAGCUCUCACGGGAUAUUGUGAGGACUCCCGACAUCAGACAUAUAGGAUCUGCUCUUGAGAAGAGGCUCACCCACAGAUUUGAGUGGAAAGUUUGGAGACACUCCUGCCUGGAAAAAUGCCCAUGGGGUGUCAUGCUCUUCGCCAUCAUCACCUUGACUUCCUGAGAUCCUGCUACAUGUCCGUCACAUGCUGCCCACCUUUCCUGCAUUGUGUCCCUCAUCCUGACCACAGCCCACGAAGGCUGUCUUGUUCUGAUUGACAUCAGGAAGGCAGAGGCUGGCUCCAAAGCUCUGCCAUCUGGGAUGGGGCAAAGCCAGGACCGGAUGAGUCGUCAUUUGCAAAGGAGGCAGAGCCCAUUUCUGGAUGCUUUGGCACCAACAGCAAAGCACUUUGUCCGGCGUGGGCCGUCACUUUCUCCAGGUUUCACAGAGCUGUUGGGUUUGCUGUCUAUUGCUGUGGAACAAAUUCCCUCAGAACCUGGUUGCUAAAACAGUAUACAUUAUCUCACAGAAGUGACAUCCCACCACGUCUGCCGUAUUCUACUUGAUAGAGGGCAGGGAGUGGCAAACGUAUGGCCCGAGGACCAUAUAAGGCCCCAAAAAUCAUUUGGUCUGACUCUGCCAACGCAUUAGUGGUGAGUUAAUUAAAUACUUGACCAAAUAUAGCAGGCUGAUUUUUAGGUUGAUAAUUUUGUAUGGCCCACGAAUGAUGUUACAAAUAUCCAAAUGGCCCUUGGCAGAAAAAGGGUUCCCCACCCCUGCAGGGGGAUGAGAAGUCUAGAAGUAAGCAAACCAGGGUUGGUAUUACAGCUCCUCUUCAACAUCAUCAGAGCCUUAGGUUCCUUCUAACUUUCUGUUCUGCCAUCAUUAGAGUAUGGUUCCUGAUCUCAUGCCCACUAGAAGUCUGUGAGAGUACUAGGCCAUUAUGACUGAGGUCCAUACACAGGCAAGGAAGGAGGGCCAAAUACAAACAGGUCUAGCUUGCUUGCCAGUUGAAUUGCCCCCCCUUUAAGGGAAAUUUUCUGGAAGUAUAAUCUAACAGCAUUUGCUCACACCUUAUUGGCUUGAACAGUGUCACAUGGCCACCCCAGUUGUGAGGGAAACUGGGAAAUGUAGUGUUUUAAGGAGCACUUCAUCAUCAACACAAUCAGAAUACCAUUGGUAAGACAAAUAAAAAGAAAGAAAAAAGAAAAAAAGAAAAGAAAAGAAGGGAGAGUGGAUCCUGAAUAGGUAUCUAGCAAUCUCUGCCACGAAUAAAGAUGGGAAAAAUCCUCUGUUAUCAACCUUCUGGAUCAGGGGUCCAAACCAAGGUCCUCCUGCCUAGUGCCUUUUGCAAAAAUAGAAAGAGACUGAGUUUGGUAAAGCAGAGCAGAAACUUUAUUCUUUGAUCAAGGAAUGGAGUAGGAUCAGCUCAUACUCUAAAGGCACUUUCUUCCCACCUGGGGUGAAGCCUUCUGUAUUUAUAGGCUAUGGUGUGAAGUGAUUAAGUCCUUUUAGGCAUGUGGAGUUGUUUUUCUGUUGCACUUGGCCCUUUUGCACACGUUCCUUUUUGCACACGGUGCUCCAUCACCAUCUUGGUUUUUGCACUUGGCACCUUGGCCUUUGCAGUCAGUACCUUGGUCUUGUGGUCAGGAAUCUUUUUCAGUUCCUGUAGGCAAGCACAGCUUGUGACAGUUUAGGUCUUGAGAAAUGUUAGGGUCUUUUGCAUGACAAUCCAGUGACACUCCUUUGGGGACAUGACAUCUAAGCUAAGACCUCAAAAUGAAGAAGACUUACCUAGGCUGAUAGCAAUGGAGAGGCAUUCUAGGAAGAGAGACCGGCAAUAUAUGAAAGAGGGAAAGAAGGGGAGGUGGAAGAGCUUAACUUUCCAGGUGGAGCAUCCCACGAGGAGCAAGGUAAGAGUAUUCUAGCCCUUCUUGGUUUCCCAUUGAAAGGCACAAGGUAUACAGUUAAGUAAUAAAAGAAUUCUGAGCAGGACUAUUAAAUGACUGUUCUCAGAAAGAGAACAUUCUAUAUCACUGUUUCUCUAUGACUCAUCCCUUCGCAAAUACCUUCACUUUUGAGCACUUAGUACUUUUUCCCCUGAAAGAGUGAAAUGGUGGUCCCUCUUCCUGCCAAACUCCUGAUUAGCUUUGUUCUGGAUUUUGGGAAAAAAAGAAAUCCUGUUUCCUGCCCUUGUUUCCUGGCUGCAGCCUCUGGUUCCGCCCACUUCUUGGUCUCACAGUGUCUAUUUCCGCCUCAAGCUCUCAACCAAGCCCAUAGAUCACUUUUCUCAUCCACAGUUACUAGUUAGUCAUUCAGACAUAUCAGAGUGGAAAAUAAUUUCCUUUCUUUCUUGGGUCACUUUUUUCUUUUGUCCUCUUGGAUUACUUUGCUUGUUUUUUUCUUAAGUUAAUUUUUCAGACUCUUCCUUGUAAGGACAGAAAGAAUCUAAGCAGGUGUUGAGGGCUUGGUUCUCCUGGGGAAUAUACUGGAGUAUUGUUGGUUCAAGACCAGAAAUGAUGUAAUCAGGUCACUGGCAACAAAAGGAAGACAAGGAAAAUGCCAGGGUUUUCUGUCUUGGGUGUGGAGAUUGAGAUAUAACAUAAAUGGCCUGGAGGGGAAGUAAAAAGUGCCUCAUCAAAGAAGACAGCUUCUGGGUUUGCAUAAAUUCUCCCGCUUCUAGGCUGGCUGAUCUUAAGCCAGUUAUUUGAUUGCUUUACACUUUUUUUUAAAAGUUUAUUUUUAUUUUUUAAUUUCUAGGAAAGGAAAUAAUAGUGCCUAGCUAAUCAAGUUAUGUGAGGAUUAAAUAAAACGAUAACCAUAAAAUGCUUGUCAUAGUGCUACAGAGGAAGCACUCAGCAAAUGAUCAUCAUUACUAUUAUCUGGAUUUAGACAAUGUGUGUUUUUUAAUUAAAAUAUUCCAGCCUUGAGAAAAAAUAUAUAUAUAUGGAAGACCACUGAUUUCUUCCUUGAGAGACCGCUUGGGGAUAGAUGACAUGUGUAAGAUUGGCAUCCACCUUGGGAUCUUCCUCCAUGGAGAUAUGAGGGACAGAUUAUAAGCUUUUUAGAGUGAGGCUAUGUGGGAUAAUGAUAUAUCUCCAAAGUGUUCUCAAUUUUGAGGUCAGCCCUUGCUACCCCAUUCACAUGGGAAGUGCCUAAGAAACAGCCAGCUCUGGAUUCUCCCCACGGUAUCAGUGGAUUAGUCUCUCAGCAAAUGAGGAGAAUCCCAGCUGGGAAUACAGAUUUGGGAAUGGUGUUCUCACUCUCUUGAUGGCACAGAGGAAUAGCUCUUUGAAUCAUUCUAUUGGUCUGUUAAAAUGGUUCUGAGGUUGACUGUAAUUCAGAGGUUCCUUCCUCUAUUCCACUAAACCACUAGCUUUUAGAAAUUAUUGUUGGCACCAUGAGUAUGUCUGUUACACAUGACAACUGCAUUUAUAUCUUUGUUUUAUCAAGUCAGGAUAGGCUAAUUUAUGUUGUAGAAACCAACAGCCCUAAAAUCUCAGUGGCUGAAAACAACAAAAGGUUAUUUUCUUCACACUGCACAUCCAGAUCCAUGUCAACUGUCCCUGGCAGGGAGAAGGAGGGCACAUAAAAUCAUAUUCUGAUUCUUACAGGCUACUGCCUCAUUCCAAUUGCUCAAGCAGGUCCUGUAGUCAUGCCUAACUUUAACAAAGUCAUAUUAGGAUUUAUCAUGUUAGAAUUUUUCCCAUUCAAUGGGCUUACCUGUAGUCAGUAUGUUCUGAGGGUGUCUUGAACCUUUGAAAUCACCUGGCUUGAAAUUGUAGAGGACUGACCAGUAAUCCAAUAAAAAUGGGGCAAGAUGGAGAGUCUGCUAAAAUUCUCUUUUGAAAAAAAAAAAAGUCAUGUUUUAUGUAUUUAAAAUCAAAUUUGUUCUAUGUCUUACAUUUGAACUUUAAUAUAGAAACAAAAUUUGGGCCACAAAACAGUCAAGGUAUGUGCAAUAGUAAUGGUGAUUUUCCUUAACAAAUUGUCUAAAUAAUCUUUGUAAUAAUAACAGAUUUAGUUUAUUGAAUCUUUUCCAAGGGAGAGCUUAGGACAAAUGUGUCAUAAUAAAUAAGUCUUUAUAGCUUCAUUGCCUUAUUCCCAAUUAAUUCUGCAUAUACUUUAGACAUUGAGAAAGUAAUCUAUGUGGUUGAGGAUUACUUCAAAUGAUACUUGUUGCUUUAAAACACCAAUAACGACAUGGCUUUUUGACUGUUUUGAAUGAAAUGUGUAAGUAAAGCCAGUAGAGAUAUCUUUGUAACUAUGCUACAGUUUACUGCCUGCCCCUCACCUGCCUGGCUCUGGACUAAGCAUUCUGGACACAUUAUCACAUUCUUCAAUUUUCCUAACAAUAGGCUGAGGCUUUGAGGGGUCACAGUGUUCUGCCUAUAGUCACUUGGCUGAUACAUGACACAGCCAAAGCCUGACUCUAGGUUUGCCUGAAUCCGGAGGCCACCCCUUAAAAAGAAAAAAUUAUUCUUUUGAAUAAUUAAAGAACAGGUCUUUUCUUAAAUUUAGAGUGGGAUACAGCUAAAGGGGAGAUGGUCUAAACUGAACUCAAAACUCUUUCCCAUUUUCUCUUAUCUUUUUCUUUUCUGGGGUCCAGAGCAAUAAACAUUUAGAGAAAGACUGUUUACCCAAAGGCUGUUUCUAUUUAAAAUGUUUCACCAAGACAGUGAGUAAUCUCUUAUCCUAUUAAGGAAUUUUCACUGUUACUACUGAAACCAAGAUGUCAUUAUUAAAAUAAACUAUUGGUUUUCCA